UCCGAAAAAGUCACUAUUUUACAACAAAAAAAUGGGCAAUUUUGUGAUAAAAGUCAGAAUUUGAAAAAUGAGUUGGAAUUUCACCAGAAUAACUUAGAUUUUUGGCAGUAUUAUAAUAAAAGUCGUCAUUU
Nerophis ophidion (straightnose pipefish) is the source of this 131-nucleotide small nucleolar RNA. RefSeq annotates it as small nucleolar RNA snR34. The record is from RefSeq and is a predicted model, not a curated record. NCBI's taxonomy places the organism in Eukaryota, Metazoa, Chordata, Actinopteri, Syngnathiformes, Syngnathidae. The transcript has a single exon.